Molecule: ribosomal RNA, 253 nt
Filed under: uncultured bacterium
Lineage: Bacteria
Description: partial 16S ribosomal RNA
Rfam family: Bacterial small subunit ribosomal RNA
Source: RNAcentral
AACGUAGGGAACAAGCGUUAUCCGGAUUUACUGGGCGUAAAGCGCGCGCAGGCGGCAUGGAAAGUUGGACGUGAAAACUCCUGGCUUAACUGGGAGAGGUCGUACAAAACUACCAAGCUAGAGGUUGGAAGAGGAGAGUGGAAUUCCCGGUGUAGUGGUGGAAUGCGUAGAUAUCGGGAGGAACACCAGUGGUGAAAACGGCUCUCUGGUCCAAUACUGACGCUGAGGUGCGAAAGCGUGGGGAGCGAACGGG